GGAUAACUAUCAUCAUAUCACAUUUACAAAAAAAGAAAUGAGAAUAUAAACUCCCAAUCAGUGAUAUAAUAUAUUCAACCUCGAUAUCAAUUAACAAAACCAAUCAGCAAAACCCAAGAAAACCAAACUAUACAUAAUAUAAUUGCCAGAAGUAUAAAUCUUAGAAAAUUGAUCAGCAGAAACCCAGUUCAAAGCUUGCUGCCAAGAAAUUUCAAAUGCUAAACCCAAAUUCUAAUGAAGUCAAAACCAGGAAGUUUGAAGGAGGGAAAAAAAUGAACCACCAAAUUCUAAACCAUAAUCUCAAUCCAACAAGCAAAUAAAACUUGAUUAUAAAAAACUCAAAAGCCAACAACCCAAACAAAAUUUGAUUAUAAAUAACUAAAAAUGAAUAAGGCUUCG
This 399-nucleotide unclassified non-coding RNA is filed under the name Hevea brasiliensis (rubber tree). Lineage: Eukaryota; Viridiplantae; Streptophyta; Magnoliopsida; Malpighiales; Euphorbiaceae. The record is from RNAcentral.